GAUGAACGCUGGCGGCGUGCCUAAUACAUGCAAGUCGAGCGAAGCGGGGAAGGGUGAGUCACACGUGGCUAACCUCCUAUAAGAAUGGGAUAACUACGGGAAACCGGAGACAAAAAGGAUCCUUAUGGGUAGAACCUGGCUGCAUUAGCAAGUUGGUAAGGUAACGGCGUACGAGGGCAACGAGGCCUAGACGACCUGAGAGGAGGAUCGGCCCCACUGGAACUUAGCCACUGUCCAGACUCCUACGGUAGGCAGCAGUAGGGAUUCUUGCGCAAUGGGCGAAAGCCUGACGGAGCUACGCCGCGUGAGGGAGGAAGGUCUUCGGAUCGUAAAACUCUUUUAGUAGGGAAUCGUUACCUAAUCAGAAAGCCACGGCUAACUCCGUGCCAGCAGCCGCGGUAAUUC
RNAcentral lists this ribosomal RNA (405 nucleotides) under uncultured bacterium. RNAcentral describes it as "partial 16S ribosomal RNA". It matches the Rfam family "Bacterial small subunit ribosomal RNA", at positions 28 to 526 of the family's 1533-position model. The record is from RNAcentral.